RNAcentral lists this long non-coding RNA (658 nucleotides) under Mus pahari (shrew mouse). RNAcentral's name for it is "lncRNA (MGP_PahariEiJ_G0004516.1)". The record is from RNAcentral. Lineage: Eukaryota; Metazoa; Chordata; Mammalia; Rodentia; Muridae.
GGGUCUCCAUUCUACAUCUACUGGGAAGCCAGUCACUGGGGUGCUGUGUGUUUUUGGAAGCUGCCACAGCAAGUCACCACAAGGCCGGGACUGACACAAGCUUGCUGUUGCUCUGCAGACUAGUAGCCCAGCAUGGCCUCCCGGGACAACAUGAAGCCAUUGAUGUGACUGCAUCUCUUACUAGAAGAUUCUUAAUCAAUUCCAAAGGCAUCUAGGAUGACAUUUUCUGAUACAGUGUAGAAAAGUCUAACCUGAUAAUGUGGCAUCACUCACUUUCCCCAGUGGCUUUAUUAUAACUUCUGUAUUAAAAAAAAAAAAUAAGGAAAAGAAAUCUCUUGAUUGUUAAGGGGGAACUUGAGGAGAAUAACAUCUCCAGGAAUGACUAAAUAUGAUGUUUUGAAAACUUUCUCAAGACCUUCUCAACAGCUUCCAGAAUCUGGCUGCUACUUGUUUGUCUUGCUAGUGACAUUUGGGGACAGUGCUUAGAGGACUGAGGUUGCCUUCCCCUUGCUGCUGGCUUCUGACCCUCUUCCUUCAUAUCCAAGGGGCCUCAAGGAGUACAGACUCGGUAUUACAUCAGGCAGUUAUCAGUAAUCUGGUAACACAUGUCCGAUGCCAGUUACGGUUCUCUGGUUGAAUCUGAUAGGUGCAGAUCCCA